GGGUGAGUAACACGUGGGCAAUCUGCCCUUCACUCUGGGACAAGCCCUGGAAACGGGGUCUAAUACCGGAUACGACACGGGGUCGCAUGAUCUCCGUGUGGAAAGCUCCGGCGGUGAAGGAUGAGCCCGCGGCCUAUCAGCUUGUUGGUGAGGUAAUGGCUCACCAAGGCGACGACGGGUAGCCGGCCUGAGAGGGCGACCGGCCACACUGGGACUGAGACACGGCCCAGACUCCUACGGGAGGCAGCAGUGGGGAAUAUUGCACAAUGGGCGAAAGCCUGAUGCAGCGACGCCGCGUGAGGGAUGACGGCCUUCGGGUUGUAAACCUCUUUCAGCAGGGAAGAAGCGAAAGUGACGGUACCUGCAGAAGAAGCGCCGGCUAACUACGUGCCAGCAGCCGCGGUAAUACGUAGGGCGCAAGCGUUGUCCGGAAUUAUUGGGCGUAAAGAGCUCGUAGGCGGCUUGUCACGUCGGUUGUGAAAGCCCGGGGCUUAACCCCGGGUCUGCAGUCGAUACGGGCAGGCUAGAGUGUGGUAGGGGAGAUCGGAAUUCCUGGUGUAGCGGUGAAAUGCGCAGAUAUCAGGAGGAACACCGGUGGCGAAGGCGGAUCUCUGGGCCAUUACUGACGCUGAGGAGCGAAAGCGUGGGGAGCGAACAGGAUUAGAUACCCUGGUAGUCCACGCCGUAAACGGUGGGAACU
Molecule: ribosomal RNA, 700 nt
Filed under: Streptomyces dengpaensis
Lineage: Bacteria; Bacillati; Actinomycetota; Actinomycetes; Kitasatosporales; Streptomycetaceae
Description: bacterial SSU rRNA
Rfam family: Bacterial small subunit ribosomal RNA
Source: RNAcentral